GCCAAACAGCUAGCUUAAACACCUAAUUAUACAACAUUUAAAAACCCCACUUAACCCACAAUCUCUUAAUUAAAACAUUUUUCCACCCUAGUAUGUGCGACAGAAAAGGUAUAUCAAAGCAAUACAAAAAGUACCGCAAGGGAAAGCUGAAAGAGAAAUGAAACAAACCAUUUAAGCCAAAUAAAGCAGAGACUAACCCUCGUACCUUUUGCAUCAUGAUUUAGCCAGCCAUCCUGAGCAAAGAGCACUUUAGUUCAAUACCCCGAAACUAAGUGAGCUACCCCGAGACAGCCUUUUAUAGGGCCAACCCGUCUCUGUGGCAAAAGAGUGGGAAGAUCUCCGGGUAGGGGUGACAGACCUACCGAACCUAGUUAUAGCUGGUUGCCUAAGAAAUGGAUAAAAGUUCAGCCUCGCACUCCCCAAAUCACAAGAAGUUAUUACUAAUUUAUGAUACGAGAAAUAUGCGAGAGUUAGUCAGAGAGGGUACAGCCCCUCUGAAAAGGGAUACAACCCUACUAAGGAGGUUAAAGAUUAUAUUACAUAAGAUUAUCGCUUUAGUGGGCCCAAAAGCAGCCACCUCAAUAGAAAGCGUUAAAGCUCAAGCAAUAGACAAUCAAUUAUUUAAAUAAAUCCAUCUUAUACCCCUAACCAUACUAGGCCUUUCUAUGCUAACAUAGAAGUGACACUGCUAAAAUGAGUAAUAAGAAGAACUAAUUCUUCUCCUGGCCAAUGUGUAAGCUAGAUCGGACCACCCACUAGCCAUUAACGAACCCACCGUAAGAGGGUAAUAUGAAUAUAAAAAUAAACAAGAAAAAACCAUAAUACAUUAAUCGUUAACCCCACACUGGAAAGCCCACAAGGAAAGACUAAAAGAUGAGGAAGGAACUCGGCAAACACAAGCCCCGCCUGUUUACCAAAAACAUCGCCUUCUGCAAAAAUCAAUAUAUAGAAGGUCCUGCCUGCCCAGUGACUUUAAGUUAAACGGCCGCGGUAUUUUGACCGUGCAAAGGUAGCGCAAUCACUUGUCUUUUAAAUAAAGACCUGUAUGAAUGGUGAAACGAGAGCUUAACUGUCUCCCCCAUCUAGUCAAUGAAAUUGAUCUUCCCGYGCAGAAGCGGGUAUAUUCAUACAAGACGAGAAGACCCUUUGGAGCUUAAGAUAAAAGACCAACUAUGUCAAAAGUAAAAAAUAACUAAACUAAAUAAUACUGGUCUAUAUCUUCGGUUGGGGYGACCACGGGAGAAAACAAAGCUCCCAUGCGGAUUGGGAAAACUUCCUAAAAUUGAGAGAGACAUCUCUAAAACGCAGAAUAUCUGACCAAAAGAUCCGGMUACAUGCCGACCAACGAACCAAGUUACCCUAGGGAUAACAGCGCAAUCCUCUUCCAGAGUCCAUAUCGAUCAAGGGGGUUUACGACCUCGAUGUUGGAUCAGGACAUCGUAAUGGUGCAGCCGCU
RNAcentral lists this ribosomal RNA (1456 nucleotides) under Lithoxus planquettei. RNAcentral describes it as "partial 16S ribosomal RNA". It matches the Rfam family "Bacterial large subunit ribosomal RNA", at positions 267 to 2563 of the family's 2925-position model. The record is from RNAcentral. Lineage: Eukaryota; Metazoa; Chordata; Actinopteri; Siluriformes; Loricariidae.